Non-coding RNA from Coffea arabica (coffee), 2015 nucleotides. The record is from RefSeq and is a predicted model, not a curated record. Lineage: Eukaryota; Viridiplantae; Streptophyta; Magnoliopsida; Gentianales; Rubiaceae.
ACUUUCCUCCUUCCUUCGAUUAGCUUAACUUCUCUCCACCGACCGACUGUCCCAAACUCCCACUGCCAUCGCUGCUACUGCUAGCUCCCUCUCCACUUCCUCCCACUUCGGCCACUGCCAUCCUUUUCCUACAUCGAGCCGAGCUCGAGCUCGAGCUCUAUUUUUCGAGCUCGACGAGCUCGAGCUUACAUAUAAACAAGCCCGACUCGACUCGAUAAGUUUAAAACUUGAUUUGACUCGGCUCGUUUGCACUCCUAUGGCAUAUGAACAUGUGGGAGUUGCUUUGGCAAAUUCUGUUAUCAAGACCAACCACAUCUGGAAGGCAGUCAGUGAGCGUCAACACCGCUUCAAUUGAGCACCCACCCUAGCAAGCUUUCAUUGCGAUUUUGCUGCAUGCAUAUCUGAGUUGGAAGCAGGCUUGUCAAAUGCCUUGGUGAUUAUGGUGUUAGUCUCCUAAUGUUGGCGAGUUGUUUAGUUCUAACAUCACCCUGCAUUUUGGUUUUUGCCAAUGUGACAUGUUGCAGGACUAACGAAGUUCAAAAUUGAGCACUUGAGGGGUUUGAAAAGAUAAUGACGACAAGAAACACGAGGGGCUGAGUGCCAACAGGAGAUUACUGAUUUCAGAUUUCUUCUUUUCGCUAGAGAUAAACCAUUCUCAGAGAUUGCAAUGUCUGAAAUAAUGAGAUACGUCUAACAUCCAAUCCAAAGUAGUGCUUUUUUGUAACUUUCCCUUCAAGUUUGGGAUACUUAGUUGAUUUUUAAAUAAAUAUUUUGAUUGCUAAUGAACUGGGCUGUCCUCAGUAAGCCAUAAAAUAUCAAGGUAUGCCUGAGUGAUUACAUCUAAAUAAGUUGGAACUGCUAAAAUCAAGUGAUUACUGAUAUUUAUCAACCAGGGUAUUGAUGAAGAAGCUCCAUGUGAAAAUCCAUAUUGUUCUGUUCAUUUUGGAUAACUAGAGUUACUGACAUGGAAACUAAACGCUUGUCGAUGUUCUAAAGAACAAACAGCUGAUAAAUCUGUUAAGAUUUUGCAGUGGAGCUGUUAGGCAUCAUGGUCGAAUUACACAGAGAAAUGGAUGGGACCUGAAUCAUCCUUAGCAGCUCCAUGGCAGACAGCUGACCAUAUGCAUCAAUUACUCGCACAGCCAACAUGGUUCCUUCAAGUAGCAGGUUCAAUUCAAGAAUGAGUAAGGAAAAGGAGAGCAAGCCGUAUGGAAUUAAAACCACGGUGGGUGGCCAAAAAGGCACAGGACUUUAUCGCGUCACAUGGUCCUGGAUAAGGUUUUAAACAAGUCAUUGCUUUAAUGAUUUCCGACAUGAGCUUAUUCCCAGAUCUUAAAGCUGUGGCAUUACAUGAUGAAAGUCCCAUGUCUGGAAUAAUAAGUGGGAUAGCACGUGAAGAAAAGUUUGUCAAACUCAAUAGCGACCACACCAAAGUAGAGCACUUGCUGCAUUAGCAAGAAAGGAUCAAAGUAACGUUCGAUUCUCAUUCCGCAGAAAGAAGCUUUUUUUUAAUCAAAAUCAUAACGUCUUUCAGCAUGCUGCCUGCCCAUCCAAAAUGAUGUCCGGGAAGCCCCCUGGAAAAGCUACCUGCUAGCGGUUCCAUGAUGAAAAGGUCGCCGGGAAAUUAAUAUUAUCCGCAUUCUUAAUAAUCAGAAGAAAGAUGGGAGCUGAUAAAGAUUCUGUUUAACGAUUGUGGAACGGAUUCUGGGAGUUAAUUUUGGUGUAAAAGCUUAACAAAAGCAGAGUCGAGGACCAAGGAAAUCUUAGCGUGCUUUAAUAUUUGCUGCUUUCCAAGGCAGUGACAUUGCAAGACUUGUAAGUAAGGCCGCAGCCCACAGGAAAUGAUUUUCUGGAAAGCAAAGAUGGGGACAGAGAAAGAAAGAACAACUAUCCAAUGCUUAUGAAACAUCAAGGCGAAGAUUUUACACAGUUUUUCCAGUGGUGUCAGUGCUUUUAAAAUUCUGUCGUGCAUUUCAGAGCUAAUAAUUGGGACCUAAAUUUGAAUGGAAAAAGAU